UACGUAGGGGGCUAGCGUUGUCCGGAUUUAUUGGGCGUAAAGAGCGUGUAGGCGGCCAGGUAGGUCUGCUGUGAAAACUCGAGGCUCAACCUCGAGACGUCGGCGGAAACCAUCUGGCUAGAGUCCGGAAGAGGAGAGUGGAGUUCCUGGUGUAGCGGUGAAAUGCGCAGAUAUCAGGAAGAACACCCGUGGCGAAGGCGGCUCUCUGGGACGGUACUGACGCUGAGACGCGAAAGCGUGGGGAGCGAACAGG
This 253-nucleotide ribosomal RNA is filed under the name uncultured bacterium. RNAcentral describes it as "partial 16S ribosomal RNA". It matches the Rfam family "Bacterial small subunit ribosomal RNA", at positions 524 to 776 of the family's 1533-position model. The record is from RNAcentral.